CUGAUCUAUACUGUGCCCCAGUCGCACGGGCUGGACCCUCACCUCGCCCGCUGUUCAGCCAGAGGGCCUGGGAGCCAGGGCAAGGGGCUUCUCAUCUGGAGUCUCCGUUUCUCCACUAGGGAAAGGGGACAGACUUCAGGGGUCUCAGAGGCAGGAGAGACCAUUCCAGCCCCUCUGACUGUCCCCAGAGUCCCACAAACAGGACAGCAGUCAGGAGACAAAGCCAUAAGCUCCACACUGGAGGAGGCCCUCCUGAGCAUCUGAGAGUGGAAUCCCCCCUACAGCCCCAUGUCCCCAGAGAUGUCUGAGCCCUCCCUGAGCAGCCCCCUUCCCACCCUCUAGUCAGAAGACCCAACUCAAGCCAGACGCAGUGGUGCACACCCAGCCAGGGGGUGGGCCUCGGGGAAAUGCUGAGGCAGGAGGAUCACAAGUUUAAGACCAGCCCGGGCAACUUAGGGAGACCCUUAUUCAAAAUAAAGAGUAAAAAGGACUGGGGACAUGCUAGUUCAGUGGUAGAGCGCCCAUCCACACCCCUUAAAUCUCCAGGACUAUAAAAAAAAAAUCACUGGGCAAAGUGGCGCAUGCCUGUGAUCCCAGCAGCUUAGGAGGCUGAGGCAGGAGGAUCGUGAGUUCAAAGCCAGCACCAGCAGUUUGUCAAGACCCUAAGCAAACUCAGUGAGAGCCUGUCUUUAAAUAUAAUAUAAAAAGGGGGCUUGGAGGGGCUGGGGUUGUGGCUCAG
This 739-nucleotide long non-coding RNA is filed under the name Marmota monax (woodchuck). The record is from RNAcentral. Lineage: Eukaryota; Metazoa; Chordata; Mammalia; Rodentia; Sciuridae.